Molecule: ribosomal RNA, 218 nt
Filed under: uncultured bacterium
Lineage: Bacteria
Description: partial 16S ribosomal RNA
Rfam family: Bacterial small subunit ribosomal RNA
Source: RNAcentral
UAACCUACCCAUCAGAGGGGGAUAACACUUGGAAACAGGUGCUAAUACCGCAUAACAGUUUAUGCCGCAUGGCAUAAGAGUGAAAGGCGCUUUCGGGUGUCGCUGAUGGAUGGACCCGCGGUGCAUUAGCUAGUUGGUGAGGUAACGGCUCACCAAGGCCACGAUGCAUAGCCGACCUGAGAGGGUGAUCGGCCACACUGGAACUGAGACACGGCCAG